RNAcentral lists this ribosomal RNA (118 nucleotides) under Diaphorina citri (Asian citrus psyllid). The record is from RNAcentral. Lineage: Eukaryota; Metazoa; Arthropoda; Insecta; Hemiptera; Psyllidae.
ACGAGCGGAGAUAGCACGUUGAAUGUACCAGAUCCCAAUGGAUCACUGAAGUUAAGUAAUAUUGCGCAUGGUUUGUAUCCGGAUGGGUGACCAUCUGGGCAAUUGCGGGCUGCUAGCU